GGUCGUUUAGUUCAGUUGGUUAGAAUGCUUCUUUUACAUGGAAGAGGUCAUAGGUUCAAAUCCUAUAACGACUACCA
RNAcentral lists this transfer RNA (77 nucleotides) under Chloroflexota bacterium. Its description in RNAcentral is "tRNA-Val". It matches the Rfam family "tRNA". From Rfam's summary of the family: Transfer RNA (tRNA) molecules are approximately 80 nucleotides in length. Lineage: Bacteria; Bacillati; Chloroflexota. The record is from RNAcentral.